Molecule: ribosomal RNA, 446 nt
Filed under: uncultured bacterium
Lineage: Bacteria
Description: bacterial SSU rRNA
Rfam family: Bacterial small subunit ribosomal RNA
Source: RNAcentral
GAUGAACGCUGGCGGCGUGCUUAACACAUGCAAGUCGAACGGGAAUUACUUUAUUGAAACUUCGGUCGAUUUAAUUUAAUUCUAGUGGCGGACGGGUGAGUAACGCGUGGGUAACCUGCCUUAUACAGGGGGAUAACAGUCAGAAAUGACUGCUAAUACCGCAUAAGCGCACAGAGCUGCAUGGCUCGGUGUGAAAAACUCCGGUGGUAUAAGAUGGACCCGCGUUGGAUUAGCUGGUUGGUGAGGUAACGGCCCACCAAGGCGACGAUCCAUAGCCGGCCUGAGAGGGUGAACGGCCACAUUGGGACUGAGACACGGCCCAGACUCCUACGGGAGGCAGCAGUGGGGAAUAUUGCACAAUGGGGGAAACCCUGAUGCAGCGACGCCGCGUGAAGGAAGAAGUAUCUCGGUAUGUAAACUUCUAUCAGCAGGGAAGAAAAUGACGG